GAGUGGGAGAGGGAAGGGAGAGCGCAGCACAGCCAGAGAGCAGAACAGUGAUCUCCCUACUCCAGCCUGGAUCCCUACACACUUCUCAUUGAGACCAGUCCCGGAAACAGACCCUGAGGACUUAACGACACCAUCUUACCCGUCACAUACAGCCAGAAACAGCCUCAGCAGCUUCUGAUCCUUUCCUCUCCUCUUCUUUCUCUCUCUCUUCCUCCUUCGCUCUACCUGGGAGAGAGUGUUCCACCUGGCUAUCUAUGCUGACAGAGGACGGACACACGACUACCUCAGAGGACAAGUAGCAAUACCAGUCUCUGGCCCUCUUGAGCUUCUGUUCACACACAGCCAGCCAGCCAGCCAGCGAGAGAGGGAGAGAGAGGCUGCACAAAGGACCAGUUCAAAGGCUGAGGGCUCAUUUGUCAAACAAACGCAUGACAGAGACAGAGACUACAGUAUCAAAAACAGCAGAAGGCCUUGAAUAGCCAAAGGGCGACGAUUGAGGGAGUAAAAAUAAACAGAAGGAUGAUGAUGUCAUCCACUGAUAUGUCCCUCUCUCCUACUCUGUGAUAGAUAGAUA
This is a long non-coding RNA of Coregonus clupeaformis (lake whitefish), 574 nucleotides long. RefSeq lists it as uncharacterized. The transcript is spliced from 3 exons. The record is from RefSeq and is a predicted model, not a curated record. Lineage: Eukaryota; Metazoa; Chordata; Actinopteri; Salmoniformes; Salmonidae.